RNAcentral lists this ribosomal RNA (497 nucleotides) under uncultured bacterium. Its description in RNAcentral is "partial 16S ribosomal RNA". It matches the Rfam family "Bacterial small subunit ribosomal RNA", at positions 28 to 507 of the family's 1533-position model. The record is from RNAcentral.
GAUGAACGCUGGCGGCGUGCCUAAUACAUGCAAGUCGAGCGAACAGACGAGGAGCUUGCUCCUCUGACGUUAGCGGCGGACGGGUGAGUAACACGUGGAUAACCUACCUAUAAGACUGGGAUAACUUCGGGAAACCGGAGCUAAUACCGGAUAAUAUAUUGAACCGCAUGGUUCAAUAGUUCAAGACGGUUUUGCUGUCACUUAUAGAUGGAUCCGCGCCGCAUUAGCUAGUUGGUAAGGUAACGGCUUACCAAGGCAACGAUGCGUAGCCGACCUGAGAGGGUGAUCAGCCACACUGGAACUGAGACACGGUCCAGACUCCUACGGGAGGCAGCAGUGGGGAAUCUUGCGCAAUGGGCGAAAGCCUGACGGAGCAACGCCGCGUGAGUGAUGAAGGUCUUCGGAUCGUAAAACUCUGUUAUUAGGGAAGAACAAAUGUGUAAGUAACUAUGCACGUCUUGACGGUACCUAAUCAGAAAGCCACGGCUAACUACGUG